AUGGGUAAAUUGAACAUCAAAAUUAAAAGUUGUACAUCAGCUAAACAUUCGCUAUAUUAAGACCAUGCAUGUGUCCCCAGACCUAGUUCUUGCCCUAGGUCUGGUUUUCUAAAUGCUGGUGAUAAGC
Small nucleolar RNA from Pipistrellus kuhlii (Kuhl's pipistrelle), 127 nucleotides. RefSeq annotates it as small nucleolar RNA SNORA72. The transcript has a single exon. The record is from RefSeq and is a predicted model, not a curated record. NCBI's taxonomy places the organism in Eukaryota, Metazoa, Chordata, Mammalia, Chiroptera, Vespertilionidae.